ACAUGAGAUGCUCUCUUCAGUCCGGGGCUUGGUUGAACGGACUCACCAGGAAACGUGACUUUCGUGUCCGACCUCUGCUGUAUCAGGAUUCGAUUCUUGGUGUUAAACAAGACAACGCUGAAGGCUCGGUGCAGCAGCCCUGCAAAGGGAAUAUGAGGAGAGAAGCACGAUGGACGCAUGACUCCGCUGACUUUGGCACGGAUAAUACAGAACAAAAAUAACACAGCAGCAGUGAUGGGUAAUAUUCUAUAAAAAGAUUAAUGUGUUUUGCUCUUUUGUCUUUCCAUAAGUUCACCUUUAUGCAUGUAAUUUUUAGUUACGUAGAAAAUCAAAAGGCUAUGCCUGAAAUGUUUUCCCUGGAAAUCAGUUCUGAGACUCAGGAAUAAAUGGUCUGUUUGAAACUUGUUUCUUUUGCAGUCAGAAGAGUAAGAAUGGGAGAAUGAUACUCUUUUAAAGAUCUAAAAAAUAAUAAAUAAGUCUAUGAAUUAGGCUUUGAGGAAGAAACUAAUAUACAAUACCGUACCUAUUAUAAUCCAACAACUCUAAUAGUAAUAAUAAUAAUAGUAAGACAGCCAGACACACAUUGUGUCCUUCCUUUGUGCCAGUUUCUAUUUUAAGAGUUUAAUGUAUAUUAAUUCAUUUGGUCCUCACGACAGCUUUCUGAGAUAAGCGUUAUUUUUUAUUAUCACAGCAUCGAUAAGGAACUGAAGCACAGAGAGGUAAAUUACCUGCCCAAGGCAAUGUGGCUGCAGAUGCAGCUGAGCCCCCAGAAUCUGUGCAGUUUAACAUGUUGGGAUCGUCACCACCAAACUAAGCACUGAAAGCUUUAGAGGCAAAUGUUAUCAAAAUUUCAAGGAAGGAAUUGUCAUUCUCUGUAAAAUGUUCUAGGGGAUAAAAAAGGAGGGAAACCCUUUGCUAGGUUGAUCUGGGUACAAGGUUCUGACACAUAAAGCACACAAAAAACAUUAUAAAGGAAAGGAAGGAAGACAUUUUGAUUAGGCUAUAUGCGGAGAAUUUUCUUAAGAGAGGUUAUGACAACUUUAAGAAUGACAGUUGAUGACCUAUAAUGCUGCAGGUAGGAGGUUAAGAAUAAACUCUAGGAAUAGAUGAUUACAUCUGAUUAAGGCAAAUUAGAAGCAACAGAAAGGGCUCUAGAUAUCAGUGAAAUAUAGAGAAGGACAUGGAGGCCAAGACUGGGAAAAGCAGGUAAAAAGAAAUGGAAGUGGAAAGAGUUAAAAAGGAGUAGGCCAAGUAUUGUAGGUAUGAAAGAGAGGGUAAAACAAAUACAGCAUGUGCUAAAAGGGGUAUCCUUGAACAAGAGAGCCAUAAUAAUAAAGAAAAAUAUCCCAGACACACAAGAUGACUUAAACCCACAGAUGGAAAGGGCUUGCCAUGUUCCAGAAAUACUGACACAUUAUCGUCGACACUGGGGUAAACUUCUCAGAUCUCUGAGAAAACUG
RNAcentral lists this long non-coding RNA (1460 nucleotides) under Homo sapiens (human). RNAcentral's name for it is "HSALNT0157293". Lineage: Eukaryota; Metazoa; Chordata; Mammalia; Primates; Hominidae. The record is from RNAcentral.